UGGGGAAUAUUGGACAAUGGGCGCAAGCCUGAUCCAGCCAUGCCGCGUGAGUGACGAAGGUCUUCGGAUUGUAAAACUCUUUUGGCGGGGACGAUAAUGACGGUACCCGCAGAAUAAGCCCCGGCUAACUUCGUGCCAGCAGCCGCGGUAAUACGAAGGGGGCUAGCGUUGUUCGGAAUCACUGGGCGUAAAGCGCACGUAGGCGGAUGUGCCAGUCAGGGGUGAAAUCCCGGAGCUCAACUCCGGAACUGCCUCUGAUACUGCACGUCUUGAGUUCGAGAGAGGUGGGUGGAAUUCCUAGUGUAGAGGUGAAAUUCGUAGAUAUUGGGAAGAACACCAGUGGCGAAGGCGGCUAACUGGUCCGGUACUGACGCUGGGGAGCGAAAGCCAGGGGAGCAAACGGGAUUAGAUACCCGUGUAGUCCCUGAGCGGGCUGGCAAGGCGCAU
This 447-nucleotide ribosomal RNA is filed under the name uncultured bacterium. RNAcentral describes it as "bacterial SSU rRNA". It matches the Rfam family "Bacterial small subunit ribosomal RNA", at positions 355 to 825 of the family's 1533-position model. The record is from RNAcentral.